RNAcentral lists this ribosomal RNA (448 nucleotides) under uncultured bacterium. RNAcentral's name for it is "bacterial SSU rRNA". It matches the Rfam family "Bacterial small subunit ribosomal RNA", at positions 355 to 825 of the family's 1533-position model. The record is from RNAcentral.
UCGGGAAUUUUGGGGCAAUGGGCGAAAGCCUGACCCAGCAACGCCGCGUGAAGGAUGAAGUAUUUCGGUAUGUAAACUUCGAAAGAAUAGGAAGAAUAAAUGACGGUACUAUUUAUAAGGUCCGGCUAACUACGUGCCAGCAGCCGCGGUAAUACGUAGGGACCAAGCGUUGUUCGGAUUUACUGGGCGUAAAGGGCGCGUAGGCGGCAUGACAAGUCACUUGUGAAAUCUCUGGGCUUAACCCAGAACGGCCAAGUGAUACUGUCGCGCUAGAGUGCAGAAGGGGCAAUCGGAAUUCUUGGUGUAGCGGUGAAAUGCGUAGAUAUCAAGAGGAACACCUGAGGUGAAGACGGGUUGCUGGGCUGACACUGACGCUGAGGCGCGAAAGCCAGGGGAGCAAACGGGAUUAGAUACCCAAGUAGUCCCUGAGCGGGCUGGCAAGGCGCAU